UUUAUGCCUGUUAUGAUUCCGUGUUCCAUGUUUUAUUACGAAUCUGUGUGCUUUUCUCUGUUUUAUAUUACUUAUGGGUGCCGUAUUUAUGAUAUGUAAUCUUGUGUUGUGCUUUACUAUGUGUUUGUGUGGUAUCGCGUGCCUUGAGCCGGGGGUCUAUCGGAAAUAGCCUUUCUACUUCUUUAGAGGUAGAGGUAUGGACUGCGUACAUCUUACCCCCCC
This 222-nucleotide long non-coding RNA is filed under the name Capsicum annuum. Its description in RNAcentral is "long non-coding RNA (CANN_LNC019089)". Lineage: Eukaryota; Viridiplantae; Streptophyta; Magnoliopsida; Solanales; Solanaceae. The record is from RNAcentral.